Molecule: ribosomal RNA, 497 nt
Filed under: uncultured bacterium
Lineage: Bacteria
Description: partial 16S ribosomal RNA
Rfam family: Bacterial small subunit ribosomal RNA
Source: RNAcentral
GAUGAACGCUGGCGGCGUGCCUAAUACAUGCAAGUCGAGCGAACAGACGAGGAGCUUGCUCCUCUGACGUUAGCGGCGGACGGGUGAGUAACACGUGGAUAACCUACCUAUAAGACUGGGAUAACUUCGGGAAACCGGAGCUAAUACCGGAUAAUAUAUUGAACCGCAUGGUUCAAUAGUGAAAGACGGUUUUGCUGUCACUUAUAGAUGGAUCCGCGCCGCAUUAGCUAGUUGGUAAGGUAACGGCUUACCAAGGCAACGAUGCGUAGCCGACCUGAGAGGGUGGUCGCCGACAUGGGAGCGGAAACAGGCACAAGACGCCUGCGGGAGGCACCAGACGGGAAUCGGCGGCAGGGGGGGAAAACCUUACGGAGCAAGGCCGAGUGAGUGAUAGAGGUGUCGGGAGCGUAAAACUGUGUUUUUGGGUAAAAACAUAUUUGUAAUUAACUGGACCCUUCUUGACGGUACCUAAUAAAAAAGCCCCGGCUAACUACGUG